Molecule: ribosomal RNA, 658 nt
Filed under: fungal endophyte
Lineage: Eukaryota; Fungi
Description: eukaryotic LSU rRNA
Rfam family: 5.8S ribosomal RNA (bases 182-335)
Source: RNAcentral
CAUUAAAGAGUUCUAUAACUCCCAAACCCAUGUGAACAUACCUAACGUUGCCUCGGCAGGUCGCACCUACCUUGUAGCACCCUACCCUGUAGGGCCUACCCGGGAGAUGCGGGUAAGCCUGCCGGCGGCCCACCAAACUCUGUUUGAUAUUGAAUUCUGAACAUAUAACUAAAUAAGUUAAAACUUUCAACAACGGAUCUCUUGGUUCUGGCAUCGAUGAAGAACGCAGCGAAAUGCGAUAAGUAAUGUGAAUUGCAGAAUUCAGUGAAUCAUCGAAUCUUUGAACGCAUAUUGCGCCCAUUAGUAUUCUAGUGGGCAGGACCGUUCGAGCGUCAUUUCGACCCUUAAGCCUUAGUUGCUUAGUGUUGGGAGCCUACGGCAACGUAGCUCCUCAAAGUUAGUGGCGGAGUUGGUUCACACUCUAGACGUAGUAAUUUUUAUCUCGCCUAUUAGUUGGACUGAUCCCCUGCCGUAAAACCCCCAACUUAUCAAGGUUGACCUCGAAUCGGUUCAGACAAACUCGCUAAAUUGAAGCAUCUUAGUCAGCGAAGGAAAAGAAACCAACAGGGAUUGCCCUAGUAACGGCGAGUGAAGCGGCAACAGCUCAAAUUUGAAAUCUGGCCCUCGGGUCCGAGUUGUAAUUUGUAGAGGAUGCUUU